This 222-nucleotide unclassified non-coding RNA is filed under the name plant metagenome. Its description in RNAcentral is "partial contains small subunit ribosomal RNA, internal transcribed spacer 1, and 5.8S ribosomal RNA". The record is from RNAcentral.
UUUCCGUAGGUGAACCAGCGGAGGGAUCAUUAAAGAGGUGCAAAACUCUCAAACCAUUGCGAACAUCCCUUCUACGUUGCUUCGGCGGGUUGGCCUCGGUCUCCGGGGUCCCCGGCCCUCACGGGCGCCCGCCGGUUGUACCAAACUCUUGAACUGUUAUGGCCCCUCUUUGUCUUUGUACUUAAUAAGUCAAAACUUUCAACAACGGAUCUCUUGGUUCUG